UCCUACGGGAGGCAGCAGUGAGGAAUAUUGGUCAAUGGAGGCAACUCUGAACCAGCCAUGCCGCGUGAAGGAUGACGGCCCUAUGGGUUGUAAACUUCUUUUGAAUAGGAAGAAACUUAUCUACGUGUAGAUAACUGACGGUACUAUUAGAAUAAGGAUCGGCUAACUCCGUGCCAGCAGCCGCGGUAAUACGGAGGAUCCAAGCGUUAUCCGGAUUCAUUGGGUUUAAAGGGUCCGUAGGCGGAUCUUUAAGUCAGUGGUGAAAGCCGACAGCUUAACUGUCGAACUGCCAUUGAUACUGGAGAUCUUGAGUACAAAUGAAGUAGGCGGAAUGAGUCAUGUAGCGGUGAAAUGCAUAGAUAUGACUCAGAACACCGAUUGCGAAGGCAGCUUACUAACAUGUAACUGACGCUGAGGGACGAAAGCGUGGGGAGCGAACAGGAUUAGAUACCCUGGUAGUCCACGCCGUAAACGAUCAUCACUCGCUGUUGGCGAUAUACUGUCAGCGGCCAAGCGAAAGUAUUAAGUGAUGCACCUGGGGAGUACGCCGGCAACGGUGAAACUCAAAGGAAUUGACGGA
Molecule: ribosomal RNA, 580 nt
Filed under: uncultured bacterium
Lineage: Bacteria
Description: bacterial SSU rRNA
Rfam family: Bacterial small subunit ribosomal RNA
Source: RNAcentral